Long non-coding RNA from Chinchilla lanigera (long-tailed chinchilla), 899 nucleotides. RefSeq lists it as uncharacterized. The record is from RefSeq and is a predicted model, not a curated record. NCBI's taxonomy places the organism in Eukaryota, Metazoa, Chordata, Mammalia, Rodentia, Chinchillidae. The transcript has 4 exons.
GAGGGAUUGUGUGUGAGCACAAGGGCCUGCAUAUGCACGUGUACAUGUGCAAGGGGGGUGCCUGGACCUGUGCCCACCUGGCCCGUGCAUUGCAGGUAUAGGGCUGUCUGUGUAGUGUGUGCGUGUCUCUGUAUGUGCAGGGAGAAGGUUCCCCUGAGCACGGGGCCGUGUGUGCCCGUGUCCUGGGGGUGCAGCCCCCUCUUCAGCAGAGUCUGCUCUGCAUUAAACGCAAACUCUCUUGGGGACUCUGGACUCCUUCCACAGGAAUAAUCAGAAUUCUGUGCAGUACCGACCGGCAGUCGGGAGGGGCCGCCAAGAUUCCUGCACGGUCCCGGCCUCCGCCUAGGGAUGGGAAGGACGUCGUCUCCUCACGAAGCCAAGGACUGCUGUGGAAAGAGCGGCGUGAAGAACCAGGCCGUUUUGCUCUGCACAUUCAUUGCACAGACUCUCCAGCUCCGUGUGCCCAUGUGAGCUCCUGGCAUCAGCUCUGACAGCCACCAGGGUGGCUGCAGGAAGCGCCGGCGCCUCGGACGGAGCAUGGGAAGAGACUUAGCGAUGCACGUCUGCAGAGGUUUGAUUGCAGCGUCAGCACUUUGCGAUAAAUAAGUGGACUUGGAGGUCUGCGGUGCGGGCGCUCGGCUCUAGAAGGUUCGCCGCCCUUGGUCUGGAGUGGUCAGUGCAAGUGCCGGCAAGUGCCCCAACUUCACGACAGCAUCUUUUAUUAUACAGACUACUUGAAUUUAAUUAUAGAGGCACAUUUCCUUUAUGUUUACCUUUGCCAUUUUAAAUAUGAUGUUUUCCUUUAUUCCAAAACCAUGCAGAUAUUCCUUUUAAAAAACUAUGUGUAUAUGAUUACGGCAAAGUGCACAUAAGAUAUACCAGUUAAUUUUUGUUUUUUU